UGCUGCAUAGAGCCCUUCAUAGUAGAUAGCGUUUGUGUUGCCAGUUGUUACGCACUUGGUGAAAAACUCUCGAAACUGACCACCAGUGCAGAUUUGACAUGUUGCAAAGGUGACCAUUGGCUGAACAUUACACUUCCUUAAGACGGAGGGUUCGUGGACAAGUGCAUAACCGCGUUUCCCAGCCCGCAAAAUACCACCAAGGUAGUAGAAUGAAUCCGCUCCCACCAUCUCUAUUAUUUUACACAAAAUUUCUUCUGGAAGAUUGGGGAUGUUUAGAGAUGCCAUACUAUUGAGUUCUAUUGGAGAUGUUUAUCAGAAGCAUUGAAUAUGUAUAUAUAGAAUAAAGAAAUAAACAAAGGAGUUUUAUGAGUUACUAGGAAAGUUAUUGUCCUCUCCCACAUUUUGUACCUAACACUCAGAGAAAUAGUUAUUCCAAUC
Molecule: long non-coding RNA, 438 nt
Filed under: Brassica napus (rape)
Lineage: Eukaryota; Viridiplantae; Streptophyta; Magnoliopsida; Brassicales; Brassicaceae
Description: long non-coding RNA (BNAP_LNC018338)
Source: RNAcentral